GUGUAUUCUGAUAUGAGGAGAAUUUCUCUUUUGGUCUUGGACAUAUUCCUUAGACUGACAUGUCACUGGGCCAAUAUUUGAGUGAAUCUCCUGUUUCUGGAAUUAUCAAGAAGACUACAGAAAAUUAUAGGAGUGACUCCGAAAUGCUAUGGAAGAGAUUCCUGCAUUGUCAUGCAUAAAGGCAGGUGAGAGUGAGCCUGGUGAGGUGGCCUCUUAGGGCCCCUUCCAAACACAAGAUUCAUUAUUUGAGGUACAAUUGAAAGCUUUGUCUUCUAUAAGAAUAUCUCUCAAUAUCUGGUCAAAAUGCUUGAAAUACCCACAUGUAUUCAUUUUGUUUGUGCAAAUCCUGACUUAUUUCAAAACAUUUUUACUUCAGAAAUUUCUAUCCUUAUUAAGUGGGGCAUUACUGUCACUUCCUGAAGGCCUGGUUUAAAAGCAAGCAUGAUUAUAUAUCUCCUUAAUGAUGUCAUUUGACCCCAUACAACGACCUAUGUGAAAGAAGUAGAUGAGAUAUUAUUCCUGUUUUACAGAUGAGGAAACUCAUUUCAGAGGGACAAUGCUACCUGGAGAAAGGAAAUAGGGCUCAUUAAGAUAUCAUGGCACAUUAAUAUGAACACAUGAAUUUCCUCAUCAGAGGAGCUGCAGGCUUGUGUUGGUCCAUUGUGUUGGACAAACCACAAAAUGGACUAACCCAAUAAAGCUGCUGGGACUGGACACAGGAGCAUCUUUACGGAUAUGAAAG
RNAcentral lists this long non-coding RNA (742 nucleotides) under Homo sapiens (human). RNAcentral describes it as "HSALNT0251331". Lineage: Eukaryota; Metazoa; Chordata; Mammalia; Primates; Hominidae. The record is from RNAcentral.